UACGAAGGGGGCGAGCGUUGUUCGGAAUUACUGGGCGUAAAGGGCGCGUAGGCGGCGACCCAAGUCAGAUGUGAAAGUCCUGGGCUUAACCUGGGGACUGCAUUUGAUACUGGGUUGCUUGAAUUCGGGAGAGGAUAGCGGAAUUCCCAGUGUAGAGGUGAAAUUCGUAGAUAUUGGGAAGAACGCCGGUGGCGAAGGCGGCUAUCUGGACCGACAUUGACGCUGAGGCGCGAAAGCGUGGGGAGCAAACAGG
RNAcentral lists this ribosomal RNA (253 nucleotides) under uncultured bacterium. RNAcentral describes it as "partial 16S ribosomal RNA". It matches the Rfam family "Bacterial small subunit ribosomal RNA", at positions 524 to 776 of the family's 1533-position model. The record is from RNAcentral.